RNAcentral lists this non-coding RNA (176 nucleotides) under human gut metagenome. The record is from RNAcentral.
CGACGGUUCGUCCCCAGGGACGAUGAAAAGGGAACGGGGUGUGAAUCCCCGACAGACCCGCUGCUGUAUUUCUCGAAUUACCGUUACCAACAAGUCACUGACCCCGGGCAAGAGAGCCGCAAGGUCGGGAAGACGGUUUCGGAAUGAGAUAAGCCAGAAGACCUGCCGUCAUAAUU